This 440-nucleotide ribosomal RNA is filed under the name uncultured bacterium. Its description in RNAcentral is "partial 16S ribosomal RNA". It matches the Rfam family "Bacterial small subunit ribosomal RNA", at positions 338 to 795 of the family's 1533-position model. The record is from RNAcentral.
CCUACGGGAGGCAGCAGUGGGGAAUAUUGCACAAUGUGGGAAACCCUGAUGCAGCGACGCCGCGUGAGUGAAGAAGUAUCUCGGUACGUAAAGCUCUAUCAGCAGGGAAGAAAAUGACGGUACCUGACUAAUAAGCCCCGGCUAACUACGUGCCAGGGGCCGCGGUAAUACGUAGGGGGCAAGCGUGAUCCGGAGUUACUGGGUGUAAAGGUAGCGUAUACGGCAGCACAAGUCUGGAGUGAAAUCCCGGGGCUUAACCCCGGAACUGCUUUGGACACUGUGAGGCUGGAGUGCAGGAGAGGUAAGCGGAAUUCCUAGUGUAGCGGUGAAAUGCGUAGAUAUUAGGAGGAACACCGGUGGCGAAGGCGGCUUACUGGACUGUAACUGACGUUGAGGCUCGAAAGCGUGGGGAGCAAACAGGAUUAGAUACCCCUGUAGUC